UAAGCAAAAGUAGCAAGAAAUCGGUGAAAGUAUAUAUUGUUCUUAGUAAAUAAUGAUUAGGAACCCCCUUUAUAUAAUAGGAGAAUCCUAAAUAAGGUACACUUCUAAUCAUAGUAGGAAAUCAUAUUAAUGUCUAAUUAACCCGCUAUAAAUUGAUCCAUUCCGAGGUUUACGCCACGAUCAUGUACCAAUUGUGGAUAUCCCGCCUUUUCCGUUAUCCAGCUAUGACGAUGCCACUCGAGGUCUGCCUCUUUCUCUUUGCAAUCGAUGUCUACUCUGAUCCGGACUCAACGUCCCAGCUCUUUGACAUGAUGUUCCUAUCCCGAUCAAAGAGUAAAAUUUGGUAGCUCUGAUUUCUACUGUAUACAUGAUGUUUAGUUGUUCUA
RNAcentral lists this long non-coding RNA (386 nucleotides) under Nicotiana benthamiana. RNAcentral describes it as "long non-coding RNA (NBEN_LNC031456)". Lineage: Eukaryota; Viridiplantae; Streptophyta; Magnoliopsida; Solanales; Solanaceae. The record is from RNAcentral.